RNAcentral lists this ribosomal RNA (502 nucleotides) under Enterococcus faecium. Its description in RNAcentral is "bacterial SSU rRNA". It matches the Rfam family "Bacterial small subunit ribosomal RNA", at positions 826 to 1328 of the family's 1533-position model. Lineage: Bacteria; Bacillati; Bacillota; Bacilli; Lactobacillales; Enterococcaceae. The record is from RNAcentral.
GAGGGUUUCCGCCCUUCAGUGCUGCAGCUAACGCAUUAAGCACUCCGCCUGGGGAGUACGACCGCAAGGUUGAAACUCAAAGGAAUUGACGGGGGCCCGCACAAGCGGUGGAGCAUGUGGUUUAAUUCGAAGCAACGCGAAGAACCUUACCAGGUCUUGACAUCCUUUGACCACUCUAGAGAUAGAGCUUCCCCUUCGGGGGCAAAGUGACAGGUGGUGCAUGGUUGUCGUCAGCUCGUGUCGUGAGAUGUUGGGUUAAGUCCCGCAACGAGCGCAACCCUUAUUGUUAGUUGCCAUCAUUCAGUUGGGCACUCUAGCAAGACUGCCGGUGACAAACCGGAGGAAGGUGGGGAUGACGUCAAAUCAUCAUGCCCCUUAUGACCUGGGCUACACACGUGCUACAAUGGGAAGUACAACGAGUUGCGAAGUCGCGAGGCUAAGCUAAUCUCUUAAAGCUUCUCUCAGUUCGGAUUGCAGGCUGCAACUCGCCUGCAUGAAGCCG